CGGAGAGUAGCUCAGCCUGGUAGAGCACUGCUUUCGGGAGGCAGGGGCCGGAGGUUCGAAUCCUCUCUCUCCGACCA
This 77-nucleotide transfer RNA is filed under the name Azospirillum brasilense. RNAcentral's name for it is "tRNA-Pro". It matches the Rfam family "tRNA". Rfam says of the family: Transfer RNA (tRNA) molecules are approximately 80 nucleotides in length. Their secondary structure includes four short double-helical elements and three loops (D, anti-codon, and T loops). Further hydrogen bonds mediate the characteristic L-shaped molecular structure. tRNAs have two regions of fundamental functional importance: the anti-codon, which is responsible for specific mRNA codon recognition, and the 3' end, to which the tRNAs corresponding amino acid is attached (by aminoacyl-tRNA synthetases). tRNAs cope with the degeneracy of the genetic code in two manners: having more than one tRNA (with a specific anti-codon) for a particular amino acid; and 'wobble' base-pairing, i.e. permitting non-standard base-pairing at the 3rd anti-codon position. The record is from RNAcentral. RNAcentral also lists the same sequence under 77 other names. Lineage: Bacteria; Pseudomonadati; Pseudomonadota; Alphaproteobacteria; Rhodospirillales; Azospirillaceae.